AUUGAACGCUGGCGGCAGGCCUAACACAUGCAAGUCGAGCGGAUGAAGGGAGCUUGCUCCUGGAUUCAGCGGCGGACGGGUGAGUAAUGCCUAGGAAUCUGCCUGGUAGUGGGGGAUAACGUCCGGAAACGGGCGCUAAUACCGCAUACGUCCUGGGGGAGAAAGGGGGGGAUCUUCGAACCUCACGCUACCAGAUGAGCCUAGGUCGGAUUAGCUAGUUGGUGGGGUAAAGGCCUACCAAGGCGACGAUCCGUAACUGGUCUGAGAGGAUGAUCAGUCACACUGGAACUGAGACACGGUCCAGACUCCUACGGGAGGCAGCAGUGGGGAAUAUUGGACAAUGGGCGAAAGCCUGAUCCAGCCAUGCCGCGUGUGUGAAGAAGGUCUUCGGAUUGUAAAGCACUUUAAGUUGGGAGGAAGGGCAGUAAGUUAAUACCUUGCUGUUUUGACGUUACCAACAGAAUAAGCACCGGCUAACUUCGUG
RNAcentral lists this ribosomal RNA (484 nucleotides) under uncultured bacterium. RNAcentral describes it as "partial 16S ribosomal RNA". It matches the Rfam family "Bacterial small subunit ribosomal RNA", at positions 30 to 507 of the family's 1533-position model. The record is from RNAcentral.